This 1608-nucleotide long non-coding RNA is filed under the name Gallus gallus (chicken). Lineage: Eukaryota; Metazoa; Chordata; Aves; Galliformes; Phasianidae. The record is from RNAcentral.
CUGAUGGACUGGUUUGGCUGUACCUUCAUAGAAGUUCUGGGAGAAGAUCGAGCAAAGGGGUCUGGUGCUGGAGGUUUCUUGGGUAUUUUUUUCACCAGUCGGCUCACCCAUUUUUGCUGUUCUUCUGUAGAAUUAGCUAACAGUAGUAGAUUCUUUGCCGUUGAAAUAUCGUAAUACACUUUGCAAGGUGCUAUAAUCUCUUCUUUUUUAUCCAUAUGAUCUUUGUGACAUUUGAUAUGGCAACGGCGACAUUCUAGAGCAGGAGGAGGUUUAAACAUAUGCCAAAGAGGCUUCAUACAAGCUUCACAAUUGGUUGGAAAGUGAUAAAGAGUAGGUAUAAACUCAUGUCCUUUGUGACAAAUAUAAUUUGACUUCUCUCCCAUAGGCUCCACAGGAAAUUCCUGCUCCUUUUUGCUCUCUCCUUCAUUAGCAUACAGAAUCUGGAAUAUCCUUGGAAUUUCCUUGGCAUCUGCUCUGUACACAUCAGUCUGGGUGACUGGUCGGACAUGGAACAGUUUGUCUAUGUCUAAUACCAUAUAGGGAUUAGAUUGUUCUUUAUCUUGUUCACUGUCAUAGAACAGGAUCUUCUUACUGCUUACAAUUACAUACUUUUUAACCCAACCAAAUUUUUUAGUGUUAUUUCGAACAGGUAGUGAUAACCAGCCUUCCAAUCUUGAUUCAGGGAAUCCAUCAUCUGCCUCAGCAUCUCCAGGUCCGCUGCCUAUGCUACUGUUGUCUAGGCCAAUAUGUAGUGAUUGUAGUUGUGACCGAAGCUGUUCAAUGUCACUGUCUUUGCUGUCCAGAGUCAUCUGGAGUUCAAUUCGUAUCUGACUCUCUUCUGCUAUUUGUGCCUGCAUUUCAUUGAUUUCUUUCUGAUAUUUGAUCAUCAUUUGUGUUAACUUCUCUCGUUCAGAUUUCAGUUCCAUAUGCAGUUUCCUAUUUUCCUUUUCCUUCCGCCGUACAUCGGUGUCAGCUCCACGUUUGACUGGACCCUUCCGAUUCAUGAUCUCAGCCAAUUUAUUCACAGCCUGGGUUUUCAGUGUUCUUUCAUUCAGCAGUUGUUUCUCAAACUGUGCUUUAAUAUUUCCUAUAUUUGCUUCUUCUUCUUUCAACUUUGUAAUUUGUUCUUGUUCUUCCUUCAGUUUGUUGUUUAGUUCUUCUUUCUCAUUAGCAAGGUUAGCCACAUCGCUUGUUAGUGUUCUGUUUGCUUCCUCCAAAGAGGCUAUGGUGGCAUCCUUCUCAGCAAGUUCCUGUUUAUGCCGAGCCAUCAUUUCUUUAAUCUCCAGUUCCUUCAUAAUCUUCUCUUUUUCCAAAUCGGAGUACUGUUCUUCAGCAAUGGAACGUGCAAGUUGUUCUGAAUCUGCUUUUGUCAAAGUGAUUUCUAGCUGUGCUGCCAAGGAAUCUCUCUCGUCCUGUAACUCUUGUAUCUUUUGCUGCAUCUCUUUACAAAGUUUGGUCUUUUCCUCACAUUCUUCUUUAAGUUCUCGAACUUGCGUCUUAUACAGAGUCGAGAAAUACUGUUCAGCUUCAAGUUGGUCUUGAAGCUCUUUCAUUUGUCCAUCUGCAUCUUGACGUUCUUUGCGGAGUUCAUUGUUUUGUUUCUCCAGG